AUGGCGGAAAAGGGCGAUGGGCCUGCGAUCGGCAUUGACCUUGGCACGACGUACUCGUGCGUCGGCGUGUGGCAGCAUCAGAGAGUAGAAAUCAUUCCCAAUGACCAGGGCAACCGCACCACGCCGUCGUACGUGUCGUUCAGCGACUCCGAGCGCCUCAUCGGCGACGCCGCCAAGAACCAGGUGGUCAUGAACCCCAUCAACACCGUCUUCGAUGCCAAGCGUCUCAUUGGCCGGAGAUUUAGCGAUUCUACUGUCCAGAGUGAUAUUAAGCUGUGGUCCUUCAAGGUUGUUGCUGGGCCUGGUGACAAGCCCAUGAUUAAUGUCUGGUACAAAGGUGCGGAGAAGCAGUUUGCAGCGGAAGAGAUAUCUUCUAUGGUCCUCGUCAAGGUGCGUGAGAUUGCUGAAGCUUUCCUUGGCAGCACUGUGAAGAAUGCUGUUGUCACUGUACCUGCAUACUUCAAUGACUCACAGAGGCAGGCUACCAAGGAUGCUGGUGUCAUUGCUGGCAUCAAUGUCCUUCGUAUCAUCAAUGAGCCAACAGCUGCUGCCAUUGCUUAUAGUCUUGACAAGGAGGCCUCCAGUGGUGGUGCGAAGAAUGUCCUCGUCUUUGACCUUGGAGGUGGUACCUUUGAUGUCUCUCUUCUCACCAUUGAUAAGGGUAUAUUUGAGGUUAAGGCCACAGCGGGUGACACACAUCUUGGUGGCGAGGACUUCGACAACAGGAUGGUCAACCACUUCGUCCAGGAGUUAAAGAGGAAGAACAAGGACUUACAUGCCAACCCGAAAGCUCUUUGGAGACUGAGGACAUCCUGUGAGAGGGCAAAGAGGAUUCUCUCCUCUACUGUGCAGACCACCAUUGAGAUUGACUCGCUGUUUGAGGGCACUGACUUCCACUGCACCAUCACCCGGGCCAGGUUUGAGGAGAUGAACAUGGAUCUGUUCAGGAAGUGUAUGGAGCUUGUGGCAAAGUGUAUCAGGGAUGCAAAGAUGGACAAGAGCACCGUGCAUGAUGUUGUGAUCGUUGGUGGCUCCACUAGGAUUCCCAAAGUGCAGCAGCUUCUCCAGGACUUCUUCAAUGGCAAGGAGCUCUGCAAGAGGAUCAACCCUGAUGAGGCUGUUGCCUACGGGGCUGCUGUCCAGGCUGCCAUCGUGAGCGGAGAAGAGAACGAGAAGGUCCAGGACCUGCUGGAUGUCACUCCUCUUUCUCUUGGUCUGGAGACAGCCAGGGGUGUGAUGACAGUCUUGAUCCCAAGGAACACCACCAUCCCCACCAAGAAGGAGCAGGUCUUCUCCACAUACUCGGACGACCAGCCUGGUGUGCACAUCCAGGUGUAUGAGGGUGAGAGGACCAGGACCCGGGACAACAACCUUCUUGGCAAGUUCAAGUUGUUGGGCAUCCCUCCUGCACCCAUGGGAGUUCCCCAGAUCACGGUCUGCUUUGACAUUGAUGCCAAUGGUAUCCUGAGUGUGUCUGCCGAGGACAAGGCCACUGGGCAGAAGGACAAGAUCACCAUCACCAAAAAGGGCAGGUUGAGCAAGGAGGAGAUCGAGAAGAUGGUACAGGAGGCUGAGAUGUACAAGUCGGAGGAUGAGGAGCACAAGAAGAAGGUGGAGCCCAAGAUCGCCCUGGAGAACUACACGUACAGCAUGCGCCACAUCAUCAAGGACGAGAAGAUAGCCUCUGAGCUGCAGGCGGAUGACAAGAAGAAGAUCGUUGAAGCAAUUGAUGAUGUCAUCGAGUGGCUGUGCACGAACAAGCUCGCUAAUGCUGACGACUUCGAGGAGAAGAUGAAGAUGCUGGAGGCCGUGUGCAACCCCAUCAUCGGUAAGAUGUACCAGGGUGCUGGUGCCAAUGGACGAUGA
RNAcentral lists this ribosomal RNA (1866 nucleotides) under Triticum aestivum (bread wheat). RNAcentral's name for it is "partial small subunit ribosomal RNA". The record is from RNAcentral. Lineage: Eukaryota; Viridiplantae; Streptophyta; Magnoliopsida; Poales; Poaceae.